This 506-nucleotide ribosomal RNA is filed under the name uncultured bacterium. RNAcentral's name for it is "bacterial SSU rRNA". It matches the Rfam family "Bacterial small subunit ribosomal RNA", at positions 15 to 518 of the family's 1533-position model. The record is from RNAcentral.
GAUCAUGGCUCAGGAUGAACGCUAGCUACAGGCUUAACACAUGCAAGUCGAGGGGUAGCAGGGUAGCAAUACCGCUGACGACCGGCGCACGGGUGAGUAACACGUAUCCAAACCUUCCCACAACUCAGGAAUAGCCUUUCGAAAGAAAGAUUAAUACCUGAUGGUACUUAUAUAAGGCAUCUUAAAUAGUUAAAGAUUUAUGGUUGUGGAUGGGGAUGCGUUCCAUUAGAUAGUUGGUGAGGUAACGGCUCACCAAGUCUUCGAUGGAUAGGGGUUCUGAGAGGAAGGUCCCCCACAUUGGUACUGAGACACGGACCAAACUCCUACGGGAGGCAGCAGUGAGGAAUAUUGGUCAAUGGGCGAGAGCCUGAACCAGCCAAGUAGCGUGAAGGAAUGAAGGUCCUAUGGAUUGUAAACUUCUUUUAUAGUAGAAUAAAGUGAGCCACGUGUGGUUUUUUGUAUGUAUACUAUGAAUAAGGAUCGGCUAACUCCGUGCCAGCAGCGGC